AGAGUUUGAUUCUGGCUCAGGAUGAACGCUAGCUACAGGCUAACACAUGCAAGUCGAGGGGCAGCAUUGGAGUAGCAAUACUUCAGAUGGCGACCGGCGCACGGGUGAGUAACACGUAUCCAACCUGCCGCUUACUCGGGGAUAGCCUUUCGAAAGAAAGAUUAAUACCCGAUGGUAUAAAGAGUUCGCAUGUUCUCUUUAUUAAAGAAUUUCGGUAAGCGAUGGGGAUGCGUUCCAUUAGAUGGUUGGCGGGGUAACGGCCCACCAAGUCUACGAUGGAUAGGGGUUCUGAGAGGAAGGUCCCCCACAUUGGAACUGAGACACGGUCCAAACUCCUACGGGAGGCAGCAGUGAGGAAUAUUGGUCAAUGGACGAGAGUCUGAACCAGCCAAGUAGCGUGAAGGAUGACUGCCCUAUGGGUUGUAAACUUCUUUUAUAAGGGAAUAAAGUGAGGGACGUGUCCCUUUUUGUAUGUACCUUAUGAAUAAGGAUCGGCUAACUCUGUGCCAGCAGCCGC
This 517-nucleotide ribosomal RNA is filed under the name uncultured bacterium. RNAcentral's name for it is "bacterial SSU rRNA". It matches the Rfam family "Bacterial small subunit ribosomal RNA", at positions 8 to 518 of the family's 1533-position model. The record is from RNAcentral.